AGUCUUGUCUAGACCUAAUAUUUUAACUCGCAUGAUGAAGAGCCAAGUUUUACUUGACUAAAAUGUUUAUUAUCAACUUCUUGUCAGGCUAGGGCUCUUAAAAAAAAAUUCAUCCAACUUUUAUUGGAAAUGUCUGGUUAUGAAAAAGAAUUCUGAAACUGGAUUCUAGGCUAAUGAAAGAUUUUAAAGUUAGUUAGAAUCUAAUCUAGAUCUAGAUCUAAAUGUGAAAUAAAACUGAAGUAAAAAUGGAUACAUACAGUAUGUCAACAGUCAAUAAACUAGUAGAAAAGACAAACUCAAAAUCACAUCAAAGAAAAUGCAAAUCUUCCAAAUCAAAAGUGAAAAAACAUAAGAAAAUGGAACUUAACAAUAGUUUAGUGUUAAAAGAUCGUGAACUGGACAAAGCUUGGAAAUUAAAAGUUUUUGAUGCUGUUCAAGGAGGUUUUGAUGAUGAUAUAAAAGUAUGGGCUUUAUUUUUAGCCUGGGGUAGAGAACGUUUUUUCCAUCUACUUGGUGUCAUCAGUCUUUUGAUCUGCACAAUUCUGUUUGUGUUACAGGCCUACCUAGCGUUUAGAUCUUAUCAAAUCAUGCAUCAGCUGAAUGCCAAGCCCCCCAUACCAGAAAUGCUGUACAACAUUUACUUUGAUGGUCAUGAUUGGGCCUUUAACAUGGACAAAGUGGAUUUACGUGCAAACACUACUUUGUUUAUUCAUUGAAGUUAACAAAGAUUAACUAUUGCAUGAUGAAUUUUAUUUUAACAGCUAAUCUAAUGCUGCAUUUAUCUUUUGUAAAUUACUUGCUUUAUAAAGAAAGUAUUUAUUAGAACACAUGAAAAGAAAGCCAGUAAACUUACAGGCUGUGUUUUAUUUAUUAAUAUUUUUUUUGCAUUUAAACAUCGUAUUAAGAUUUUGUACAGUUGAUGUAUACUUUAUCUAAAAAAAAGUUAACUAAAAUUCUAAUGAUUUAGUGUAGACUUAAUAAAGAUUUUUCUGCAGUUAAAUAGUAAACUUGAAAGUCAAUGUUUUUACAACUCUUAAGGCAUUAAAGUAAAGUAAUUAAGAAAUGUGUUUACCUGCAAGAAUAAUUAUACGCAGCAGUUAUGUCAUUGACCUAAGUUGCUUUCUCACUUGAUGGUAAUGCUUUUCCUAAUGAGAUGAACUUAAUUGUUGCAAACAUCAUGUUAUUGAAGUGUUACACAACUCUAGCCUUGUGCCUUUGUGAACACAUAUUCAUUAAAGAUUUAUUUUGCCACUGGGUAUUUUUAAAUUCUUUCAAAUUUAACCUAUCAAAAAUAUUAUAAUUUCUGUUGCUCUUAUAUAAGUUAAUUUUAUGUAUUUUUCAAAUUAUUUUAAUGAUCUUUUUUAAUGUGAUUCUGUUUACAUUACAAAACAAAUUACUUUAGUCAACUUUUGUUGGCUGUUUCUACCUAGUUUGUUGUAACCAAUUGUUAUUUAAGAAAAGUUUUUAUUUUAUCUGUAUUUAAUUCAUAUUUUAUUCUAAUUUUAAAGAAUAUAACAUACCCUAGUCUAAUCUAGUAGCUGUGUGUUUGUAUUUGCAUAAUUCCAUCAUCUUUUUUUAGAUAGGAAAAUGAGUUUAAUAUCAGUUUUACCCCUAUGCCAGAUAGCCAGUGCAUUGUUUGUUUAUGGGGAAAAAAGUUAGUGAAGUUUGAGAGCGUGCCAUGUAAUAAAAGAAGCUUUUUGGUCUUCUUGAUUUUCUCAUGCACUUGAUUUAUUUAUUCUGACGCACUUGUCCUUUUUUUAAAUCUCAACUAAAAUUAUCAACAGUUCCGAACAGAAGGACUCUUAAAUCUCAUGUGACUCACCGAAACUAGUGGAGCAGCCAAAACAGUGACUAUAUCCACACAUAUGUGAACUGAAGUGUUAUUUAAUUGAUGUUGCAAAUAUUUCAUGACAUGGUGGGAUCACUUGACAAAGUCUCAACACAUUACAGUUGGUGUUCCAUUUUUUUCAUAGUUAGCUUGAGUUAUAUUUAGUAUUAGUAAUGUCAAUUUCAUUGUUGAGGGUUUUUUUUUUAAAAAAAAAAGCAAAUCUAUCAUUUUGACAUAAGGGUGUCAUCAACUUAUGCUGUCUACCAAAAAGUGGACAUUUAGACCUUUCUGGAAAAUCUGUUAUCAAAUAUUAAAAGUAGAUUUUAGAAUGUGCUGUAAAGAAUUUAAGAAAAUAUUUUAACUGUUAUACAAUGUAUGAGAGUUAUAUAUAUUCCAUAUGAAAAACUGUUGCAUAGUAGUGAAGAUUUAUCUUUUGUAACUUAUGUAAAGAAAAAUUUUCAAAGUAUUAUUUCUGUUGUUGUACACAGAGGUACUAAUUUGUAUUACUAUAGCUUUGAUAACCUGCUGAGCUGGGUUAAUUUUUUAAAAGUACAGCCAUUUAAAUGUGUACAUUUUGUAUGCAGAUUGCAUGUUAGUUUCUAGUAGCAAAUCAAAUAUUUUGUUGUAAAACUCACUGUGUGGGUGGAUUUCCACAUGGACCUAACCACCCAGUCUACACAAAUAGACAUCUUAAAAGGGGAGUCCCUUCAAUUUUUAAUACUGCACUAACAAAAAGAAAUAUUAUGCAUUGAAAUGUUUUUCUUUUCUAAGUUUUGUUUGUUACUUAGUGAGUAAAUUAUGGGAUGGCAUGACCACAUUACCCCUUUUGUAUGCCGAGGUAACAGAAACAGGUUAACUCUACUUCCGUUGCCCAAAUUCAAAAAGGGAAUUUUACUUAAUUGGAAGAAAAAGUUUAAGACCAUUUAAAGAAAUUUUAAUAUUUAAACUACAAAAUAAACAGACCUUCAUGCAGAAAUUAGACAUGUUUUGUAUGCUAAGAAAAAAACAGUUGUAACUAUUUCUUUAAAAGUUCUUUCAAAUUUGUUUAUAUGAUGCUAUUUUUCAGAAUUGUUUUUUGAAAUGCUAUUAAUACCAGCUCCAAAAAAAUAUCAAUUACUAGCUAUUUUAUUGUUAGCAGUAAAACCAGUACUACAAUGUAAUGCAUCUUUUUGUUUUAACUAUUUAUGUGACACAAUCAAAAUAUGUCAGGUUUGUUCACAAUGUUGGCCACAUUCAGGGGUAGUCAAAUAUGUGUCUGCCGCAUUUUCUUGUGAAACACCUGCUUGGAUGUUAAUUUUACUUUGAAACUGUUGCUGCUAAAUGUUAGUUGCACAGUAAAUAGCAUACACUAGGCAUACAGAUGCUUCAGUUAGUGAAGUAACACGGAGGUCUGUAUAUGUAAAUAUGUGGACAUAAAUAUAAGAGUAUGGUUGAAUUGUUGAUAAAUCAUUGAUGUUUAUUUUUAUAAGGAUUGGAUAUCUUGUGGCUAUCUGAACCUCAUUCCAUUAUUUUUAACAAAGUUAUAAUUACUGCUGCAUUGUUUCAGAGCAGUCUUUCAUGUUGAUAGCAUAGAUUCAUUUGAUGAGACAUUAAAUAAAAACUAGUAUCAGCUCCAAGAAUAUCUGAUUGAGAUUGUCAUUGAAUUCACUAAAAAUAAUUUGUUUAUAAAAAUGUUGCAUCUGUUAAUGUAGAGGCAAUCGUUCUUUGUAUCAGAAUAGAUGCAUAGUUUAAACAUACAGUUAAAGAAUCAACCGCAGAUACUUUAACAUUCUUCUCUGUCUUUGACAUUGUGCUACACAAUUUUAAAA
Physella acuta is the source of this 3636-nucleotide long non-coding RNA. RefSeq lists it as uncharacterized. NCBI's taxonomy places the organism in Eukaryota, Metazoa, Mollusca, Gastropoda, Physidae. The record is from RefSeq and is a predicted model, not a curated record.